This 493-nucleotide ribosomal RNA is filed under the name Nocardia pneumoniae. Its description in RNAcentral is "bacterial SSU rRNA". It matches the Rfam family "Bacterial small subunit ribosomal RNA", at positions 374 to 877 of the family's 1533-position model. The record is from RNAcentral. Lineage: Bacteria; Bacillati; Actinomycetota; Actinomycetes; Mycobacteriales; Nocardiaceae.
GGCGGAAGCCUGAUGCAGCGACGCCGCGUGAGGGAUGACGGCCUUCGGGUUGUAAACCUCUUUCGACAGGGACGAAGCGUGAGUGACGGUACCUGUAGAAGAAGCACCGGCCAACUACGUGCCAGCAGCCGCGGUAAUACGUAGGGUGCGAGCGUUGUCCGGAAUUACUGGGCGUAAAGAGCUUGUAGGCGGUUUGUCGCGUCGUCCGUGAAAACUCAGGGCUCAACUCUGAGCUUGCGGGCGAUACGGGCAGACUUGAGUACUGCAGGGGAGACUGGAAUUCCUGGUGUAGCGGUGAAAUGCGCAGAUAUCAGGAGGAACACCGGUGGCGAAGGCGGGUCUCUGGGCAGUAACUGACGCUGAGAAGCGAAAGCGUGGGUAGCGAACAGGAUUAGAUACCCUGGUAGUCCACGCCGUAAACGGUGGGCGCUAGGUGUGGGUUUCCUUCCACGGGAUCCGUGCCGUAGCUAACGCAUUAAGCGCCCCGCCUGGG